GAUGAACGCUGGCGGCGUGCCUAAUACAUGCAAGUCGAGCGAACAGACGAGGCUCUUGCUCCGCUGACGUUAGCGGCGGACGGGUGAGUAACACGUGGAUACCCUACCUAUAAGACUGGGAUCACUUCGGGAAACCGGAUCUAAUACCGGAUAAUAUAUUGAACCGCGUGGUUCAAUAGUGAAAGACGGUUUUGCUGUCACUUAUAGAUGGUUCCGCGCCGCAUUAGAUAGUUGGUACGGUAACGGCUUACCAAGGCAACGAUGCGUAGCCGACCUGAGAGGGUGGUCGGCCACACUGGAACUGAGACACGGUCAAGACGCCUACGGGAGGCAGCAGUAGGGAAUGUUCCGCAAUGGGCGAAAGCAUGACGGAGCAACGCCGCGUGAGUGAUGAAGGUCUUCGGAUCGUAAAGCUCUGUUAUGAGGGAAGAACAAAUGUGUAAGUAAAUAUGCACGUCUUGACGGUACCUAAUCAGAAAGCCACGGCUAACUACGUG
Molecule: ribosomal RNA, 497 nt
Filed under: uncultured bacterium
Lineage: Bacteria
Description: partial 16S ribosomal RNA
Rfam family: Bacterial small subunit ribosomal RNA
Source: RNAcentral